This 2363-nucleotide long non-coding RNA is filed under the name Homo sapiens (human). Its description in RNAcentral is "non-protein coding HNF4A-AS1:12". The record is from RNAcentral. Lineage: Eukaryota; Metazoa; Chordata; Mammalia; Primates; Hominidae.
AGCCAGACACCACAAUUCACACCAGCAACUAUCUGAUCAGAGCGAUGACGAGAACCGCAAAGCCAAAACCAGUGUGCCGUGGAAGCACCGGAAGUCCAGGGAGGGCCAAGUCCACCCAGCAUCACCACACCAAAGAGCAGCUCUUUAGAAUCCUGCUAAAGCUCAAAAACAUGAAACCACAACGAGGAUUUCUUGCGUGCUUGCUCUGGACCCAGGACUGUUCUAAGCACUCAUGGAUCCUUCCAUUUGAUCCUCACAACAGCCAUGUCUUCCUCUGCCUCUAACUGAGGCUCUGCUAUGUGCCAUGUCCCUGACCCACCAAUGCACCUCUACUAUAGUCAUCUUAGGAGAUGAUUAAUGUUAUCCCCAUUAGAGAACCCCAGAAGAAGAUUUUUUGUUUGUUUUUUGUUUUUUUGUUUUGUUUUGUUUUUUUUGAGAUAGAGUCUUGUUCUGCUGCCCAAGCUGGAGUGGCAGUGGCAUGAUCUCAGCUUAAUGCAACCUCUACCUCCCAGGUUCAAGUGAGUCUCAUGCCUCAGCCUCCCAAGUAGCUGGAAUUACAGGCGUGUGCCAUCAUACCCGGCUAGUUUUUGUAUUUUUAGUAGAGACGGGGUUUUGCCAUGUUGGCCAGGCUGGUCUCGAACUCCUAAUCUCAAGUUAUCUGCCCGCCUCAGCCUCCCAAAGUGCUGGGAUUACAGGCGUGAGCCACUGCACCCAGCCUGGGAGAGGGGUUUUGUUUCCUCGGAGCACUUGUUUCUUUUCUCAGAAAGCAAAUUUUUCUUUUCUUUUUUUUUUUUUUCUGGAGCCUUCCAGCAGACUUCAGUAGCUCAUUUUACAGAUAAAACAUGUGAAGCUCAGAGAGGGGUAAUGAUUUGACUCACAAGACCACACAGUUUUUUGUUUUGUUUUUUUUUUUUAAAUAAGGUAGAUCUAGGAUGCUAACCCAGGUGUAUUUUAUCAAAAAUAUCAAAUCAGGGUCUUUCAGCCACUCUCACACACAUACACAUAGGCACACAUACACUGCAGUGAAUGUUCCACUGCCCCAGGACAAAAGUGCUCAUUUUUUGUGGAUGUACUGCAAGGUCACUGGAGUUCUCCUUUCUCUGUCCAGCCAUAUCUGUGGCCUAGAGCAGAGGGCCAGCAACAGCUGGAUUGUGUCAAGUCUCGAGUCAGAUGACAUUUUUUGUUUGUUUGUGUUUUUUUUUUAAUCUUGAACCUUAGUUUUUUCUUCUGUCCUUGGAGAUUACAAUAUUAUUUAUCUCAGACAGCCGUUUGGAAAAUGAAACAGCUGUCUGAGAGAUAAUAGUAGAACAUUCACUAACCCAUUCAUCCAUCCAUUCACCCACCUACCUGUCGAUAGAAGCAACCAUUCUAAUAAUUGCUGAAUGUUUGCUAUAUAAUGAGUAUGACACAGGAGCAGAGAUGAAGAGACAUGAGGACAUCCUACAAGGUGCAGAGACGUGGGAGACAGUGAAAGGCUGUCAGGUUAUAUUAUUGUAUCAUCCUUUAAGAGACACUGUGGGGCCUUCUGUUCACCCCUAGCUUAGCCUUAUGACCUGGGCUGUCCUUCCCCAGAAGCUGUCUGGCCCCUUUGAGAGACAAUGUCUUCCCCUAGCCACAGGUUCAACCAAGUCAUCCAUUGGCAUCUAUACUCCAGGUCUUAAAAUUGUGGAUUAAGGGUGGCCUCACCCUUAAUCUCCUCUAUGCUAUCUCCUCUAAUCUCCCCGCUCUCUGGGAGAUAGGUCCUGUUGUUAUCUUCAUUUUACAGAUGAGGAAAUAGGUUCAGAGAGGGGAAAUGUCUUGCCCAAGGUCACACAGCUGGUGUGUGGGAUGGGUUCCCAGGCUGUUGGUUUCUUCAGCCUCUGCCAUUUCCAGUGCAUCACAUAUUCCUGUUUGAUGGGGGUCAAAGCAAAGAAGAUUCUUCCUGACUAGAGUCAGGAGAUCAGGCCCUGAUUCUGUCAUUCCCUGGCCCUCUGUCCUCAGCAAUUGAUGACAUAAAUGUUGAUUGUGUCUUUGCAAUGCACGUGGUAUCAAGGGCUUUACAUCCUUGUUCCCCACGGCAUCCACCAUGAUCUUAAGACACAUCCUAGUCCUGUCUCCACUUCAGAAAGAAAGCAAGAGGCACGUGAAUGUUGAGCCGUGUGACAGAGUCACAACUAGACCCCGAGGUCUGCUGGAUUCCAGAGACCAAGUUCUGUGCGGGUGUGUGAUUUGAACAGGUUUAUAAAAGGCACCCAACUUUUAAAAAAUCCAAAAUGUGUCCCCAAAAGAUAAAACAUUCUCUUGAAUUUCCCUCCUCAGAAACAAACCUGUCACCAAUUUUAUUGUGUCAUUCCACGAAUUUUCUAUGCGUGGAAUGUACACGU